RNAcentral lists this ribosomal RNA (484 nucleotides) under uncultured bacterium. RNAcentral's name for it is "partial 16S ribosomal RNA". It matches the Rfam family "Bacterial small subunit ribosomal RNA", at positions 30 to 507 of the family's 1533-position model. The record is from RNAcentral.
AUUGAACGCUGGCGGCAGGCCUAACACAUGCAAGUCGAGCGGAUGAAGGGAGCUUGCUCCUGGAUUCAGCGGCGGACGGGUGAGUAAUGCCUAGGAAUCUGCCUGGUAGUGGGGGAUAACGUCCGGAAACGGGCGCUAAUACCGCAUACGUCCUGAGGGAGAAAGUGGGGGAUCUUCGGACCUCACGCUAUCAGAUGAGCCUAGGUCGGAUUAGCUAGUUGGUGGGGUAAAGGCCUACCAAGGCGACGAUCCGUAACUGGUCUGAGAGGAUGAUCAGUCAAACCUGAACUGAGAAACGGGCCCAAAUCCCAAGGGAGGCCGCAGGUGGGAAAUUUGGACCAUGGGCGGAAGCCUGAUCCAGGCAAGGCGGGUGUGGGAAGGAGGGCCUCGGAUUGGAAAAGCCCUUAAGUUGGGAGGAAGGGCAGUAAGUUAAUACCUUGCUGUUUUGACGUUACCAACAGAAUAAGCACCGGCUAACUUCGUG